UACGGGGGGAGCAAGCGUUGUUCGGAAUUACUGGGCGUAAAGCGCACGUAGGCGGAUUUGUAAGUCAGGGGUGAAAUCCCGGGGCUCAACCUCGGAACUGCCUUUGAUACUGCAAGUCUCGAGUCCGAUAGAGGUGGGUGGAAUUCCUAGUGUAGAGGUGAAAUUCGUAGAUAUUAGGAAGAACACCGGUGGCGAAGGCGGCCCACUGGAUCGGUACUGACGCUGAGGUGCGAAAGCGUGGGGAGCAAACAGG
This 253-nucleotide ribosomal RNA is filed under the name uncultured bacterium. RNAcentral describes it as "partial 16S ribosomal RNA". It matches the Rfam family "Bacterial small subunit ribosomal RNA", at positions 524 to 776 of the family's 1533-position model. The record is from RNAcentral.